This 436-nucleotide ribosomal RNA is filed under the name uncultured bacterium. Its description in RNAcentral is "bacterial SSU rRNA". It matches the Rfam family "Bacterial small subunit ribosomal RNA", at positions 29 to 509 of the family's 1533-position model. The record is from RNAcentral.
AACGAACGCUGGCGGCAGGCCUAACACAUGCAAGUCGAACGCCGUAGCAAUACGGAGUGGCAGACGGGUGAGUAACACGUGGGAACAUACCCUUCGGUUCGGAAUAACUCAGGGAAACUUGAGCUAAUACCGGAUACGUCCGCGAGGAGAAAGAUUCAUCGCCGGAGGAUUGGCCCGCGUCUGAUUAGCUUGUUGGUGAGGUAAUGGCUCACCAAGGCGACGAUCAGUAGCUGGUCUGAGAGGAUGAUCAGCCACAUUGGGACUGAGACACGGCCCAAACUCCUACGGGAGGCAGCAGUGGGGAAUAUUGGACAAUGGGCGCAAGCCUGAUCCAGCCAUGCCGCGUGAGUGAUGAAGGCCCUAGGGUUGUAAAGCUCUUUUACCCGGGAAGAUAAUGACUGUACCGGGAGAAUAACGCCCCGGCUAACUUCGUGCC